CAGAUCUAGGAUCAAAGUUCACCUUAAAGAAUAUCUACCUCAUAUUCCCAUGAAUUAGGUAAAGCAACCAAAGGUUAGAGCAGACCAGACCACACAGCCAGCGAGGGCAGACUGGACUUCAGUUGUACAAACAGUAGUGCAAGUGUCGAGUGAAUGAGACAGACAGUGGAUGCCAGAGCCAUCACAUGGGAGAUCAGUUUCUGCGGGGGUGUGAAGUGGUGGUGAAUAGAAGGAGAGAUAAACUCAUGGAAUGAAUGAGAUGCAGUGUGCACAGGGGUCCACAGUACUCUCAGUAAAUGUUAUUAUCAUAACCAUAUUUUAACAUCCUAAGAAUACCCCCUCCUCCAGGAAGCCUCCUCUGACUGAGCCUAACAGAGGUAAGAAUUUCCCUCUUUUUGCUUCUGCUCAGCAGCUCCCAGCUCAUACUCUGUAAGCUCUCAGUUUAGGAUAGAACAGCAAUGCUGCUCUGGCCCUAGUUCUGGCCCCAACUCCAGUACCAGCUCUGGCCCCAACCCUGGAGUCCAGAGAAGUCUCGUUUGGGCAGUUGAAGUCAGAGGGUCAUUUCUGGGCCUGGGCUCCGGGUUCCAUUCAAAUGGGGGAUCCCAGAGGGUGCGGACCAUGUCCUGUAAAUUCACCCCAGUGGCUCCAGGAAGGCCCCUUGGGGUGUGAGACAUGCUGGUGGCCAGCUACCCCCAGCUGGAGUCCUCACGCUGAAGGCGAGACAGCCUCACCGGCGGUGGCACUGGCUAUGCCUGACACCCUCACCCGGGACAUCAGGCUGCCCUGCCCAGUCACCCACAGGGCUGAGGCCUCACCACAUUUGCUGCAACACCCUCUGCCCUUGGGCUCACGGCCAUCCUAUCUGCGGCAGCUGGCACACGGUGAAUGCUCAAUAAAUACUCAUUAGAUUAAUGACCAUACUCAUUUAAUCCUUACACCCACCCUUCGCUGUAGGCAGCAUCAGUUCUAUUUUGCAGAUGGGCAGACUGAGGCUCCAAGAAAAGAGGGGAAUUGGCUACUCUGCAAACCCGGUAACCAGCGAAACCUAAAUCAAACCCAGGCCUCUCACCUCUUGACCACAAGCCGGCAUGUGAUGACACCAACUGGUAGGUUCACCAUAAAGAAAGAAACAGAGGAACACACUGGCCUGCUGGCUUCUGCUCCCCUCAGGCUGCUUCCCCAGGCAGGUUGUGCAGGCUUUUGUUGGGGUAGGGGGUGGAUUUUAUUCCCUGAGUUAAGUAACCUGUGAUCAACCCCUUGUGUUAACAGCUAUCAUGUGUAGCCUCAGCCUCCUGCCUUGCCCCUGAGAGGAUCUGUGUUAAAUUGACACCAGCGAUGAACAGUGUGGCUGAGAGGCAGGGAUGGGCAAGGAGGGGCAGGAAGCAGGGGCUGGUCUGUGGCCUGUGGACGUGGAUAGAGGCUCUGCUCCAGAGCCCACCCAUGGCUCUCCCAUGUCUGGGGGAGGAACACAGCUUCAGAGCUGGAUUCCAACCUGAGUUGCAUUAUGUACAAGCUGCUGAGCCCGCUGCUUAAUCUCUCUGAGCCUCGGUUUCCUCAGCUGUGCAAUGUGGACACAAUACCCACUUUGCACGGUCCCAAUGAGGCAAGGGGUAGAAAGGGCAUGGACUGUGCCUGGCACAUGGAAGGGGUAUGACAAAUGGGGGUGGCACUUGUGGUUCAUGUCCCAUGGCCCGUGAGUGUGCCAUGACUGAUGUUUCCACUCUAGUUUCAUUUUCUAGAAAUGCAGGGUCAGUUACAAGUCAGUGAAACCAGCCUCAGCCCAGUCUCAGUCCUUUCUCUGUAUCCUGAUGGUGCCUGAAAUUCCGCCACAGGGGCAGCAUUCCCUGAAUUGAAAG
RNAcentral lists this long non-coding RNA (1856 nucleotides) under Pan troglodytes (chimpanzee). RNAcentral's name for it is "long non-coding RNA NONPTRT000115". Lineage: Eukaryota; Metazoa; Chordata; Mammalia; Primates; Hominidae. The record is from RNAcentral.